GAUGAACGCUGGCGGCGUGCCUAAUACAUGCAAGUCGAGCGAACAGACGAGGAGCUUGCUCCUCUGACGUUAGCGGCGGACGGGUGAGUAACACGUGGAUAACCUACCUAUAAGACUGGGAUAACUUCGGGAAACCGGAGCUAAUACCGGAUAAUAUAUUGAACCGCAUGGUUCAAUAGUGAAAGACGGUUUUGCUGUCACUUAUAGAUGGAUCCGCGCCGCAUUAGCUAGUUGGUAAGGUAACGGCUUACCAAGGCAACGAUGCGUAGCCGACCUGAGAGGGUGAUCGGCCACACUGGAACUGAGACACGUUCCAGACUCCUACGGGAGGCAGCGGUAGGGAAUCUUCCGCAAUGGGCGAAAGCCUGACGGAGCAACGCCGCGUGAGUGAUGAAGGUCUUCGGAUCGUAAAACUCUGUUAUUAGGGAAGAACAAAUGUGUAGUAACUAUGCACGUCUUGACGGUACCUAAUCAGAAAGCCACGGCUAACUACGUG
This 496-nucleotide ribosomal RNA is filed under the name uncultured bacterium. RNAcentral describes it as "partial 16S ribosomal RNA". It matches the Rfam family "Bacterial small subunit ribosomal RNA", at positions 28 to 507 of the family's 1533-position model. The record is from RNAcentral.